AACGAACGCUGGCGGCAGGCCUAACACAUGCAAGUCGAACGCCCUAGCAAUAGGGAGUGGCAGACGGGUGAGUAACACGUGGGAACCUUCCCUAUAGUACGGAAUAUACCAGGGAAACUUGGAGCAAUACCGUAUACGCCCGAGAGGGGAAAGAUUUAUCGCUAUAGGAUGGGCCCGCGUAGGAUUAGCUAGUUGGUGAGGUAAUGGCUCACCAAGGCGACGAUCCUUAGCUGGUUUGAGAGAACGACCAGCCACACUGGGACUGAGACACGGCCCAGACUCCUACGGGAGGCAGCAGUGGGGAAUAUUGGACAAUGGGCGCAAGCCUGAUCCAGCCAUGCCGCGUGAGUGAUGAAGGCCUUAGGGUUGUAAAGCUCUUUUGCCGGGGACGAUAAUGACGGUACCCGGAGAAUAAGUCCCGGCUAACUUCGUGCCAGCCGCCGCA
This 445-nucleotide ribosomal RNA is filed under the name uncultured bacterium. RNAcentral describes it as "bacterial SSU rRNA". It matches the Rfam family "Bacterial small subunit ribosomal RNA", at positions 29 to 519 of the family's 1533-position model. The record is from RNAcentral.